This 1015-nucleotide long non-coding RNA is filed under the name Cricetulus griseus (Chinese hamster). Its description in RNAcentral is "lncRNA (ENSCGRG00000024581.1)". Lineage: Eukaryota; Metazoa; Chordata; Mammalia; Rodentia; Cricetidae. The record is from RNAcentral.
CUCACUAUGUUGUCCUGGAUGUCCUGGAGCUCACUCUGUAGACGAAACUGGCCAUGAACCCAAGAGAUCCACAUACCUCUGCCUAAGAAGUGCUGGGAUAAAAGAUGUGCACACCACACCCAGCUUUACAGCAACAUUUAUGGAAAUAGAUCUCCCAGUGGCUCUGGGAAGACCUCCCUGGGCAACAGUAGGGCCUCUGCACUUCUGUGACCCUAAACAAAGCUCGGAGGGACACCUCCCCCAGCAGGCUGAGCCACAAAAGCUCUGGGGAUCAGGAGAAACAAAAAGAGAGGGAAAUGGGAGUGCUGACAGAGCCAUUGGCCAUCGGCUACAGGACUAUAAAGAGGGCGUCCACAGACGAUGUGGCACCACAUGGAGACCCAGACUGUGCAGCGGGAGCUGGGUGAGUAAGGCUGUGGUGGUGCCCUUUGCCUUUCCUUUCUUUCUCCCAAGAGACAAAUGCACAAGAAGAACAGUUGUCUCCUGCUUAGAGGUUAGAGCCUUUGAAGGUAGAGAAAGUGGGUGGCUUUGAUCAGUGGACAGCUUCAUUUGUUACCUUGAGGAAUCACCUAUAUGGUAAUAACCGUAUCUAUAGAAACCAAGACAGGAGAUUAGUAAGAAAUAAACAGAUUAUGGGCACAAGGAGGUGUAAAGAGCAGGAGGUGCUGCUUAUCUGGGGACUCCACAUAGAAAUGCCGGAAUUUUUGUGCAUCAGUUCCUGGGCUGGAUGCCAGGGUAGAAUCCUGAAUGUUGGUUCUGAGUCUAGAAACCUGAUAUAUACCUUCUUUCUUCCUUCCCUCUCUUUCCCCUAUCCUUCUCAUCACACCAUCAAUGAUGACUACUUAACCUCUAUGGUCCUUAGUCCUCAUUCAUAAAAUGGGGGGUGGUGAUAGUAUUUGACUGGUGAGGACUAGAUACAUUAAUGCAAGUAAAGCAGAGGGUCUUUAUCAUAGAGUGAGCCAUUGUAUUUUUACAAUUACCCUUUCUUCAUUAUAAACACACACACACACACACA